GAUGAACGCUGACAGAAUGCUUAACACAUGCAAGUCUACUUGAACUUCGGUUUGGGUGGCGGACGGGUGAGUAACGCGUAAAGAACUUGCCUCACAGAUAGGGACAACAUUUGGAAACGAAUGCUAAUACCUGAUAUUAUGAUUUUAGGGCAUCCUAGAAUUAUGAAAGCUAUAUGCACUGUGAGAGAGCUUUGCGUCCCAUUAGCUAGUUGGGGAGGUAACGGCUCACCAAGGCGAUGAUGGGUAGCCGGCCUGGGAGGGUGUGCGGCCACAAGGGAUCGGAGACAGGGCCCUUACUCUGUCGAGAGGCAGCAUUGGGGAGUAUCGGUCAAUGGACCAAGUGUCUGAUCCAGCAAUUCUGUGUGCACGAUGAAGUUUUUCGGAAUGUAGAGUGCUUUCAUUUGGGAAGAACAAAAUGACGGUACCAACAGAAGAAGUGACGGCUAAAUACGUG
This 454-nucleotide ribosomal RNA is filed under the name uncultured bacterium. Its description in RNAcentral is "partial 16S ribosomal RNA". It matches the Rfam family "Bacterial small subunit ribosomal RNA", at positions 28 to 507 of the family's 1533-position model. The record is from RNAcentral.